This 794-nucleotide long non-coding RNA is filed under the name Nicotiana benthamiana. RNAcentral describes it as "long non-coding RNA (NBEN_LNC010769)". Lineage: Eukaryota; Viridiplantae; Streptophyta; Magnoliopsida; Solanales; Solanaceae. The record is from RNAcentral.
CAUGAUUAACUAAGGUAAUAAUCAGCUAUAUGAUGAAAUCAGUUCAGCUACUCAAAUUUAAUUUGCUAAUACUCAUGAUACUCUUGUUAAUGCAUAUGAAGCCAACUUUAAUAUUCUAGAUCUGAAGUCUAAUAACAAUUUAAUUAUAUUGGACUUCAUUUUCAACAUGUGCAUAGGGAACGCCUAUCAUCAAUUAUAUCACAGCUGAGAUCAAAGUCAUACAAACCUGGAAAGUCUUGUCCAUUGUUCAUACAAGUACAAAUUGAGCUAUGAUUACUCUAGAUAUCUACACCUAUCAAAACAUUGACAUAUGAUGACGUAAAUGAACAUAUAUUGGGAAUAAACUCCUGUACAAUUUCAUUCCAUUUCCUAUUCGAAUUACAUCAAAGCUGAUUCAAGGUGUGUACCUGGAAUUUGAGGCAAAACAAAGAAAAAUGGCCAGUCAGCAGUGUCACAACAAUUCAGCAAUAGAAAUUAGAUGCUUGAGGUAAUGAUAUAAGUCUAGAAGCAACAUCAACUGACACAAACCAGUUUCAACUGAUGAACCGACCAAAAACAUCUCAAAUACACCCAAAAUGACUCGAAUAGACCAAUUUCAACUUGAAAUCAACCCAUGAGCCUUUAAUCUCAAUUACUGAAUAGAACUCAAUGUAACAGUCUUUUUUUGGGUUUUAUCCUAUUUUUCUUUUGGUUUUGAAGAACUAGAUCUAGAAUAGAUUUCCUAACUCUGAAAUUUCAGCUGUGGCUUUUUAAUUUGAUACUCAAAUUUUCAGAUUGUGAAAUUUCUUCCCAAA